This 75-nucleotide transfer RNA is filed under the name Herpailurus yagouaroundi (jaguarundi). Its description in RNAcentral is "Puma yagouaroundi (jaguarundi) tRNA-Leu". It matches the Rfam family "tRNA". From Rfam's summary of the family: Transfer RNA (tRNA) molecules are approximately 80 nucleotides in length. Lineage: Eukaryota; Metazoa; Chordata; Mammalia; Carnivora; Felidae. The record is from RNAcentral.
GUUAGGGUGGCAGAGCCCGGUAAAUGCAUAAAACUUAAGCUUUUACUAUCAGAGGUUCAACUCCUCUCCUUAACA